Molecule: transfer RNA, 73 nt
Filed under: Denitrovibrio sp.
Lineage: Bacteria; Pseudomonadati; Deferribacterota; Deferribacteres; Deferribacterales; Geovibrionaceae
Description: tRNA-Asn
Rfam family: tRNA
About the family: Transfer RNA (tRNA) molecules are approximately 80 nucleotides in length. Their secondary structure includes four short double-helical elements and three loops (D, anti-codon, and T loops). Further hydrogen bonds mediate the characteristic L-shaped molecular structure. tRNAs have two regions of fundamental functional importance: the anti-codon, which is responsible for specific mRNA codon recognition, and the 3' end, to which the tRNAs corresponding amino acid is attached (by aminoacyl-tRNA synthetases). tRNAs cope with the degeneracy of the genetic code in two manners: having more than one tRNA (with a specific anti-codon) for a particular amino acid; and 'wobble' base-pairing, i.e. permitting non-standard base-pairing at the 3rd anti-codon position.
Source: RNAcentral
UCCCCGAUAGCUCAAUCGGCAGAGCGAAUGACUGUUAAUCAUUAGGUUGCAAGUUCAAGUCUUGCUCGGGGAG